Molecule: non-coding RNA, 54 nt
Organism: Salmo salar (Atlantic salmon)
Lineage: Eukaryota; Metazoa; Chordata; Actinopteri; Salmoniformes; Salmonidae
Source: Rfam
UAUGCACUCUACUGUAAGUCGCUCUGGAUAAGAGCGUCUGCUAAGUGACAAAAA